CUGUUCCACUGGACUUGGUAUACCGAAAGGUUGAUGGAAAAACAGAAUAUGUUUAUGCUCGUGUGAAGGAGCUUUCAAGAUAUUCUUUAGAGGUUCUGUCUGAAGAUUUGCCUGCU
Arachis stenosperma is the source of this 116-nucleotide long non-coding RNA. RefSeq lists it as uncharacterized. The record is from RefSeq and is a predicted model, not a curated record. Lineage: Eukaryota; Viridiplantae; Streptophyta; Magnoliopsida; Fabales; Fabaceae. The transcript is spliced from 3 exons.